Molecule: ribosomal RNA, 464 nt
Filed under: uncultured Methylosarcina sp.
Lineage: Bacteria; Pseudomonadati; Pseudomonadota; Gammaproteobacteria; Methylococcales; Methylococcaceae
Description: bacterial SSU rRNA
Rfam family: Bacterial small subunit ribosomal RNA
Source: RNAcentral
CCUACGGGCGGCUGCAGUGGGGAAUAUUGGACAAUGGGCGAAAGCCUGAUCCAGCAAUACCGCGUGUGUGAAGAAGGCCUGAGGGUUGUAAAGCACUUUUAAUCGGGAGGAACACCUGUCAGCUAAUACCUGGCAGUAUGACAUUACCGAUAGAAAAAGCACCGGCUAACUCCGUGCCAGCAGCCGCGGUAAUACGGAGGGUGCAAGCGUUAAUCGGAAUUACUGGGCGUAAAGCGUGCGUAGGCGGUUAUUUAAGUCAGAUGUGAAAGCCCCGGGCUUAACCUGGGAACUGCAUUUGAUACUGGGUAACUAGAGUUGAGUAGAGGAGAGGGGAAUUUCAGGUGUAGCGGUGAAAUGCGUAGAGAUCUGAAGGAACACCAGUGGCGAAGGCGCCUCUCUGGACUCAAACUGACGCUGAGGUACGAAAGCGUGGGUAGCAAACAGGAUUAGAUACCCCUGUAGUC